Candidatus Liptonbacteria bacterium is the source of this 3655-nucleotide non-coding RNA. The record is from Rfam. NCBI's taxonomy places the organism in Bacteria, Candidatus Liptoniibacteriota.
GCGGCGGGACACAAGGGCGAAUGGUGGAUGCCUAGACAUCAAAAGGCGAUGAAGGACGUUGCGUAGCAGCGAUAUGUCUCGGGGAGGUGCGUAGCAACCUGCGAUCCGGGAAUUUCCGAAUCGGGAAACCGAAUUGAGUAAACCUCAAUUAUCCUUUGAAAACAGAGGAUGCAAACCCACUGAAGUAAAACAUUCUAGUAAGUGGAGGAAGAAAGAACAAACGUUAUUCCCUUAGUAUCGGCGAGAGAAACGGGAAGAGCCCAAACCUAUAUGCACCUCACUGUCGUGAGGUGCUCGUGGAGCUUGGAGCGUGGAGCGUGAAUCGUCGGCAACCGCAGACGUUUCACGUUAUACGUUUCACGAUUCAGGGAGCACGUCGCGAGAGCGAAGUGCGUAUGGGGGUUAUAAGAUAGAGACACUUUAGGUAUAACGUCUGGCGCCAAGAUCUGGUGCACGGCGUUAUAUCUGAAAAAGAGUUACAAAUUGAUUUGUUAGCCGAGGUCCACUGGAAAGGGACGCCAAAGAGGGUGAUAGCCCCGUAGGCGAAAACGAAUCAACUCUCGUUUUUAUUCUUAAGUAGUUCGAGGUCAAACAGUCUCGAAUGAAUUUGCCUGUACUAUCAGGUAAGGCUAAAUACUUUUGAUGAUCGAUAGUGAACAAGUACCGUGAGGGAAAGGUGAAAAGCAGGCCGGUGAGGCCGUUGAAAUAGAACCUGAAACCAUUUGCCUACAAGGAAUUGAAGCUCGUAUCUUGUCUCCGACAAGAUCGCGGACUGCUCGGACUAAAGCGGACUACGCAGACUCUUAAAGUCAGCGAGGUCUGCCAAGGUCGGCGUAAGUCAGCGCUCUCGCCGGAGGCGAGAUGAGUAACAAUGUGCCUAUUGAAGAAUGAGCCAACGACUUAUUUUGCAUUGCUUGUGUAAGCACUUGAUUGUGCGUACGCGUAGCGAAAGCGAGUCUUAAUAGGGCGAAAACCCACUCAAUUUUUUGCUUGCCCGCCGUAGCUUUUAAGCGAAGGUGGGGAUUUAACAAUCUGUCGUCGAGAACUUCUGCUUUUGUAGAAACUACGGCGAACGAGCAAUAAUUUGAGUGGGAACGCAGUGCAAGAUAGACCCGAAGCCAGAUGAGCUUGCCUUGAGCAGGGUGAAGUUUCGCGAAAGCGGAAUGGAGGCCCGAACCGGUUGAUUGUGCAAAAUCUUCGGAUGACUUGAGGUAAGGAGUGAAAAGCUAAUCGAAUCUGGUAAUAGCUGGUUCUCUCCGAAACAGUUUUUCGACUGGCGGUAUACGUAACACGUGGGGGUAGAGCACUGGAUGAUUGGUACAGGUCGAAAGACCGAUCAAUCAAUCAAACUCCGAAUACCGCGUGUGCAAGUAUACUAGUUAGACCGUGGGGGCUAAGCUCCAUGGUCGCGAGGGCAACAGCCCAGAUCAUCAUCUAAGGUCCCUAAAUCCAUGCUAAGUGUAAAAGGUAGUGUCGCACCUAUGACAGAUAGGAGGUUGGCUUAGAGGUAGCCAUCCUUUAAAGAGUGUGUAACAACUCACUAUUCGAUGGUGAGAUGCGCCGAAAAUCCGUGGGGGCUAAGCUCCAUGGUCGCGAGGGCAACAGCCCAGAUCAUCAUCUAAGGUCCCUAAAUCCAUGCUAAGUGUAAAAGGUAGUGUCGCACCUAUGACAGAUAGGAGGUUGGCUUAGAGGUAGCCAUCCUUUAAAGAGUGUGUAACAACUCACUAUUCGAUGGUGAGAUGCGCCGAAAAUGUAUCGGGGCUAAGCAUGGUACCGAAGAUAUGGAUGCUUUGUGCGCAGCACAAGGAAAUUCGAAGCACUAAUUUCGAAAUUCUAAACAAAUUCAAAAUUCUAAAUUCAAAUGUUUUAAACUUUUGGAUUUAAUUAUUUGAACAUUGUUUCGGAUUUAGGAUUUAGAAUUUAGGAUUUUCUCGCGCUGUGCGCGAGGCGUGGUAGGAGAGCAUUCGUAUUGCGUUGAAGCCCGACCCGUGAGGGCGCGUGGAGCGAUACGAAGAGACAAUGUUGGCAUGAGUAACCACAAUCCCAAUGAGAAAUUGGAACCCCGAAAAUCCAAGGUUUCCGUGGCACUGGCAAUCAACCACGGGUGAGGCGGUCCUAAGGCAAUGGUGAAAACCGCAGCCGAUGGCAAGCUGGUUAAUAUUCCAGCCCUCCUUUACGAUUAUCCUGCGCGUGCGAAGAAUAUAAACUUGUGUGCCUUAUUGGUUUGGCAUCGCUUGUCUUAAGUUUAAGCAGAGACCGGCGGAAGGUAGAGAAUUUACUCUAUCGACACGAGCGAAGAGUCUUCCGAGAAAAGCGCGUUUGUUAUGUCGUGGAGGAUCCGUACCGGAAACCGACACAGGUNNNNNNNNNNNNNNNNNNNNNCGACACAGGUGGAUUGGGCGAGUAGCCCUAGGGGAACGAGUGAUUCAUCUUUAAGGAACUAGGCAAAAAAGCGGCCGUACGUUAGCAAUAUGGCCUGCCCUGCGCAUCACACGGAGUGUGAUGCUGAUAUCUCGACAUAUCGAAAUUUCGAAAUCUCAGCAUCGCGCUUCGCGCGAUGCGCGGGGCUGCAGCGAAAGUCUCCCUGUCGACUGUUUACCAAAAACACAGCUCCCUGCGAACUCGCAAGAGGAUGUAUAGGGGGUGACGCCUGACCGAUGCGAGAAGGUCAAGGUUGGGGGUGUGCGCAGCACACAACUCAUAACUAAUGACUCACAACAAAUAACUUUUAUGAAACUUAAGAGUUAUAAGUUAUCAGUUAUAGGUUAUUGGUUGCGCGCUGCGCGCGCUCACUGACUCAAGCCCUCGUCAAUGUCAGCGAUAACUAUAAUCGUUCUAAGGUAGCGCAAUUCCUUUUCGGGUAAGGAAACUUGCCCCUUUCCGUCGCGAGGCGGAUCGAAAAUCGGCUUAUAACGAUGGACUCCAUGUUCUGAUGUUGGUAAACUCAAUACAUGGACAAUAUCGUGGGAAGUCUAUUGAUUAAGAAUCAAAAUGACCCCGUAACGACUGAGUCCCGCAUAGCGGGACGAAAUGGUUCGGCCAGGCCGGAUCAUGACACGCCGAUUUCUUCAGGGAAGAUGGAGAGAAACAUACCGGAAUACAUAACCGGCUAUGUUGAUGGUGAGGGAUGUUUUACUGUUACGUUCAACAUAAAAGCGAAAGCUUUGUUGGGAUGGGAAUUGCGACCGAGUUUCUCGGUGAGCCAAAAUGAAGACCGACGUCAAGUUUUGGAUAUCAUCAAGGAAUACUUCGGUUGCGGAUACAUUCGCCGCGAUUACGCGGACAAAACAGUGAAAUUUGAAGUGCGGGAUCACCAUGAUCUCGUGCGGAAAGUUAUUCCUCACUUCGAGAAAUUUCCACUUCUUUCUUCCAAGCAGAAAGAUUUCGAAUUGUUCAAAACAAUAUGCGAGAUGAUUGAUGGCGAGAAACAUCUUCGAAAAGAUGGUUAUAUCGCGAUCUUGAAUCUUGCGUAUACAAUGAAUGGUUCGGGAAAGCGAAGAAGAACGAAAGAGGAAAUUAUCGCAUCUCUUCAGUGAAGAAAAAGAUAUAGUCUGAUACUCCGAGUAAUCGGAGAAAACACAAAGAAGUUCCGAAGCGCACGAAAGGCGUAACGAAUGGGGAACUGUCUCAAAGAUGAGCUCGGUGAAAAUGCGAU